GACGAACGCUGGCGGCGUGCCUAAUACAUGCAAGUCGAACGCUUCUUUCCUCCCGAGUGCUUGCACUCAAUUGGAAAGAGGAGUGGCGGACGGGUGAGUAACACGUGGGUAACCUACCCAUCAGAGGGGGAUAACACUUGGAAACAGGUGCUAAUACCGCAUAACAGUUUAUGCCGCAUGGCAUAAGAGUGAAAGGCGCUUUCGGGUGUCGCUGAUGGAUGGACCCGCGGUGCAUUAGCUAGUUGGUGAGGUAACGGCUCACCAAGGCCACGAUGCAUAGGCGAACUGAGAGGGGGAUCGGCCACACUGGGACUUGGACAACGCCCAGAAUCCUACGGGAGGCAGCAGUGGGGAAUUUUCGGCAAUGGGCGGAAAGUUGACCGAGGAACGCCGGGGGAGGGAAAGAGGUUUUCGGGUCGGAAAAACCUUUUGUUAGGGAAGAACAAAGACGGUAGUAACUGAACGUCGCCUGACGGUAUCUAACCAGAAAGACACGGCUAACUACGUG
RNAcentral lists this ribosomal RNA (508 nucleotides) under uncultured bacterium. RNAcentral describes it as "partial 16S ribosomal RNA". It matches the Rfam family "Bacterial small subunit ribosomal RNA", at positions 28 to 507 of the family's 1533-position model. The record is from RNAcentral.